CGCUGGCGGCAGGCCUAACACAUGCAAGUCGAGCGGUAGAGAGAAGCUUGCUUCUCUUGAGAGCGGCGGACGGGUGAGUAAUGCCUAGGAAUCUGCCUGGUAGUGGGGGAUAACGUUCGGAAACGGACGCUAAUACCGCAUACGUCCUACGGGAGAAAGCAGGGGACCUUCGGGCCUUGCGCUAUCAGAUGAGCCUAGGUCGGAUUAGCUAGUUGGUGAGGUAAUGGCUCACCAAGGCGACGAUCCGUAACUGGUCUGAGAGGAUGAUCAGUCACACUGGAACUGAGACACGGUCCAGACUCCUACGGGAGGCAGCAGUGGGGAAUAUUGGACAAUGGGCGAAAGCCUGAUCCAGCCAUGCCGCGUGUGUGAAGAAGGUCUUCGGAUUGUAAAGCACUUUAAGUUGGGAGGAAGGGUUGUAGAUUAAUACUCUGCAAUUUUGACGUUACCGACAGAAUAAGCACCGGCUAACUCUGUGCCAGCAGCCGCGGUAAUACAGAGGGUGCAAGCGUUAAUCGGAAUUACUGGGCGUAAAGCGCGCGUAGGUGGUUUGUUAAGUUGGAUGUGAAAUCCCCGGGCUCAACCUGGGAACUGCAUUCAAAACUGACUGACUAGAGUAUGGUAGAGGGUGGUGGAAUUUCCUGUGUAGCGGUGAGAUGCGUAGAUAUAGGAAGGAACACCAGCGGCGAAGGCGACCACCUGGACUAAUACUGACACUGAGGUGCGAAAGCGUGGGGAGCA
Molecule: ribosomal RNA, 741 nt
Filed under: uncultured bacterium
Lineage: Bacteria
Description: bacterial SSU rRNA
Rfam family: Bacterial small subunit ribosomal RNA
Source: RNAcentral